GACAUCGUUCCGGCAGUCUGACUGACGUCUUGUUUGCGUACAGUGUGCUGUCUGCUUUCGUCUUCACUAGCUUUAACUCUUCGACCUCGUAGUUUUUAUCGAUUUUUGGCUUUUAAUCUAGUCAUUUUACAAGCAACGCUAAGAAGGGAAAGAAUGGAGUAUAUUGUAAAACAAUAAAACGUUUUGUCACAAUUUCAAUUCCUUAAGGAACUAUUACAAGAUCGUAGGACGGUAGGAGCACAUGGCUCAGAAAUAUCAUCGGGAAAGCACACAGUACGAUUCGUUUUUGUAGGUUUCUUUGUGUUGAUGGAUUAGUCACCCUAGAGCAAUUACGAGUAUUUGGAUCAUAUACAAUCCAAUCCACAAAUUAAUGUUGAAGUUGUUGUGAAAUAUGCAACUAGCCCCUAGCAGAUGAGUUCGUUGGAACUACCUAGCCAAAGGUUCAGACUUUUUAUUUCAAGAUUUAAGUCCUGAGGCUGCGAUAUCCUGAAUUAGGUCGGGAAGGUGCCUUAAGUUGUAGAAUGAAAAAUAUUUCACCUUGUCCUUGCCAUUAGCUUCUGUAGUCAACUAUGCUUCUAGGUUCUAACGUGGACUCUUCACCUUACCCAUACAAAUUCCUUAGAGCUACACUUUCGAGGGGCAGUAGAUGAGUGAGGAGCUUCUCUACCAUACGGAGAUGAUUGUGUUGUCUCUACCAUUGUCUUCACAAUAGGAUAUGACAGAUGCCACGGCGAUGCCUUCAUUAGGUACUACAUUGCUAUCUGUCUUAUCGUCCCCGCCAGUUUCUUCAUCUGGGGUUUCUUCAUUCGGUCCUUCGUUGCGACUGGCAUCAGUGACUACAAUGCCUUUGUCCGGAUUCUCAGAAAGUUCUCCUGUCUGAGGUUCCGUAUUUGUCAUUAGGUCAUCCACUGUUAUACCCGGACCACAGUGUAUGAACGCAUCGCUUCCGGGAAGUAGCUACUGCAGUGACCAGUGCGGGCUGAAAUUGGCGACAGACGUAUAUACCAGUCAAAACAGGAAUUCAGAAUGACUAUUGAACGAUUUCGUCUAAAUUCGACAGGAACUGAACAUAAUAUUUAAAGUGUGGUCUAAAUACGUUAUUGCUAUGACUGGAUUUGCAUUUCCUCGGUAGAAAUGUAACGCUACCGAUACUGCAAUUCUGAUCAAAACGCUCAAAUUGAGCCUUCAGUCGUCCAUGUAUACAGUAAUGGUAGAUGGCUGAUUUUUUUUUUUUCUUCUUCCACUCACACCCAUUCCCAUCCCCGUUUUAUCGGAGUCUAGUUACAUCCUGAAGCUGAUUUGACUGAAAACGGCAUGUUGGAUUCCUUUCCAUUGAGUUCGAAACAUUGAUCUUAUAAAAUUACUGGACAAACGA
Molecule: long non-coding RNA, 1375 nt
Organism: Daphnia magna
Lineage: Eukaryota; Metazoa; Arthropoda; Branchiopoda; Diplostraca; Daphniidae
Exons: 6
Source: RefSeq, a predicted model, not a curated record